CGCGAUGCCAGGCCGACAGGCCUGGACGCCAGCCGGCGGUGGGGGAAGUCCGGUGAAAGUCCGGCGCUGUCCCGCAACGGUAACCGGCUUUGUCCGGAAGCCCGAGUACCCGCUUCGCGGCCUUACCCCGU
RNAcentral lists this non-coding RNA (131 nucleotides) under Thermus scotoductus. Lineage: Bacteria; Thermotogati; Deinococcota; Deinococci; Thermales; Thermaceae. The record is from RNAcentral.